GCCCGAGUUGUAAUUUGCAGAGGAUGUUUAUGGUGCGGUACCUUCCGAGUUCCCUGGAACGGGACGCCACAGAGGGUGAGAGCCCCGUCUGGUUGGAUACCAAACCUGUGUUAAACUCCUUCAACGAGUCGAGUAGUUUGGGAAUGCUGCUCUAAAUGGGAGGUAAAUCUCUUCUAAAGCUAAAUACCGGCCAGAGACCGAUAGCGCACAAGUAGAGUGAUCGAAAGAUGAAAAGCACCUUGAAAAGGGGGUUAAACAGUACGUGAAAUUGUUAAAAGGGAAGCGUUUAUGACCAGACUUGUGUCGUGUGGCUCAUCCGAGGUUCUCCCCGGUGCACUCCACACGGCUCAGGCCAACAUCGGUUCUUGUUGGGGGAUAAGAACAGUAGGAACGUAGCCCUCUUCGGCGGGUGUUAUAGCCUAUUGUACGAUACCCUGAUGGGGACCGAGGACCGCGCU
This 458-nucleotide ribosomal RNA is filed under the name Sordariomycetes sp. genotype 258. Its description in RNAcentral is "eukaryotic LSU rRNA". It matches the Rfam family "Eukaryotic large subunit ribosomal RNA", at positions 136 to 601 of the family's 3401-position model. The record is from RNAcentral. Lineage: Eukaryota; Fungi; Ascomycota; Sordariomycetes.